UUAACUAUUAUAUAGUACUCAGACGACAAUUAAACAUGAGUUUGGGGUCCUCUGGCAGACACUGACCAGCCGGAGCCGGUGGCCCAAGGGCGGGCCUGCCAAAGCAACAAAGGUAAGAUAAACAAAGGGUGGGAGAUUGCCCGGAGGCAGAUUCUCUGUAAUGAUCCUUCCGCAGGUUCACCUACGGAAA
RNAcentral lists this unclassified non-coding RNA (190 nucleotides) under uncultured fungus. RNAcentral describes it as "sequence contains ITS1". Lineage: Eukaryota; Fungi. The record is from RNAcentral.